UACGUAGGGUGCAAGCGUUGUCCGGAAUUAUUGGGCGUAAAGAGCUCGUAGGCGGUUUGUUGCGUCGGCUGUGAAAUCCCGAGGCUCAACCUCGGGUCUGCAGUCGAUACGAGCAAACUAGAGUGUUGCAGGGGAGACUGGAAUUCCUGGUGUAGCGGUGAAAUGCGCAGAUAUCAGGAGGAACACCGGUGGCGAAGGCGGGUCUCUGGGCAACAACUGACGCUGAGGAGCGAAAGCGUGAGGAGCGAACAGG
RNAcentral lists this ribosomal RNA (253 nucleotides) under uncultured bacterium. RNAcentral's name for it is "partial 16S ribosomal RNA". It matches the Rfam family "Bacterial small subunit ribosomal RNA", at positions 524 to 776 of the family's 1533-position model. The record is from RNAcentral.